Molecule: small RNA, 100 nt
Filed under: Thauera sp. 27
Lineage: Bacteria; Pseudomonadati; Pseudomonadota; Betaproteobacteria; Rhodocyclales; Zoogloeaceae
Also listed under: 1 other name
Description: Guanidine-I riboswitch aptamer
Rfam family: Guanidine-I riboswitch aptamer
About the family: This family represents a conserved RNA structure found upstream of the ykkC and yxkD genes in Bacillus subtilis and related genes in other bacteria. The function of this family is unclear although it has been suggested that it may function to switch on efflux pumps and detoxification systems in response to harmful environmental molecules.
Source: Rfam by way of RNAcentral
GGAAUGGAUGACUAGGGUUCCGGCCCGCGCGAGCGGGUGGCUGGUCCGAGAGUCAUCGACCUCUGGCGAGGUUACACGGCGGGAUAAAAGCCCGGGAGAA